This 393-nucleotide ribosomal RNA is filed under the name uncultured Haloquadratum sp. RNAcentral describes it as "bacterial SSU rRNA". It matches the Rfam family "Archaeal small subunit ribosomal RNA", at positions 355 to 743 of the family's 1478-position model. Lineage: Archaea; Methanobacteriati; Methanobacteriota; Halobacteria; Halobacteriales; Haloferacaceae. The record is from RNAcentral.
CUGCACGCACGUCGAUAAGGGGACUCCGAGUGCGAGGGCAUAUCGUCCUCGCUUUCGUGUACCGUAGGGUGGUACACCAACAAGGGCUGGGCAAGACCGGUGCCAGCCGCCGCGGUAAUACGGGCAGCCCGAGUGAUGGCCGAUCUUAUUGGGCCUAAAGCGUCCGUAGCUGGCUACGCAAGUCCGUCGGGAAAUCCACUCGCCCAACGAGUGGGCGUCCGAGGGAAACUGCAUAGCUUGGGAACCGAAAGGCUCGAAGGGUACGUUCGGGGUAGGAGUGAAAUCCCAUAUUCCCGCACGGACCACCGAAUGGCGAAAGCAUUUCGAGAAAACGGAUCCGAACAGUAAGGGACCGAAAAGCCAGGGUCUCAAACCGAAUAAGAUACCCGGGUA